RNAcentral lists this ribosomal RNA (492 nucleotides) under uncultured bacterium. RNAcentral describes it as "partial 16S ribosomal RNA". It matches the Rfam family "Bacterial small subunit ribosomal RNA", at positions 29 to 507 of the family's 1533-position model. The record is from RNAcentral.
AGUGAACGCUGGCGGUAUGCCUAACACAUGCAAGUCGAACGGCAGCACAGUAAGAGCUUGCUCUUACGGGGGGCGAGUGGCGGACGGGUGAGGCAUACAUCGGAAUCUACUUUUUCGGGGGUGAGAACGUGGGGAAACUUACGCUAAUACCUCAUACAUCCUACGGGUGAAAGCAGGGGAUCUUCGGACCUUGCGCGUUUGAAUGAGCCGAUGUCGGAUUAGCUAGUUGGCGGGGUAAAGGCCCACCAAGGCGACGAUCCGUAGCUGGUCGGAGAGGAUGAUCACCGGCACUGGAACUGAGACAAGGUCCAGAGUACUAAGAGAGGGAGCAGUGUGGAAUAUUGGACAAUGGGCGGAAGCCUGGUCCAACGAUCCCACGUGGGUGAAGAGGGCCUCCGGGUUGUAAAGCCGUCUUGUUGGGAAAGAAAAGCAGCCGGUUAGUACCCCGCUGAUCUGACGGUACCCAAAGAAUAAGCACCGGCUAACUUCGUG